RNAcentral lists this signal recognition particle RNA (301 nucleotides) under Strigops habroptila (Kakapo). RNAcentral describes it as "Metazoan signal recognition particle RNA (ENSSHBG00005011549.1)". It matches the Rfam family "Metazoan signal recognition particle RNA". Rfam says of the family: The signal recognition particle (SRP) is a universally conserved ribonucleoprotein. The record is from Rfam by way of RNAcentral. Lineage: Eukaryota; Metazoa; Chordata; Aves; Psittaciformes; Psittacidae.
AUUGGGGUUGGUGUAGCUGCUGUAUUUGAAGUUGGAGUAGUUGCGUUGUCUGUCGUGGUCAGGGUUUGAGUAGCUGUUGUGCUUAUCACUGGGGUUGAUGUAGCGGGCGUCCGCGCUAAGGCCAGCAUCAGUAUGGUGAGCCCCGGGAAGCUGGGGCACACCAGGUUGACUAAGGAGGGGUGAACCGGCCCAGGUCGGAGACGGAGCAGGUCAAAGCUCCCGCGCCGGUCAGUAGCGGGAUCGCGCCUGUGAAUAGCCAAUGCAGCGUAGCCUGGGCAACACAGAGAGAUGCGGGUUCCUU